UAGGGGGUUUCCGCCCCCUUAGUGUGCAGCUAACGCAUUAAAGCACUCCGCCUGGGGAGUACGGUCGCAAGACUGAAACUCAAAGGAAUUGACGGGGGCCCGCACAAGCGGUGGAGCAUGUGGUUUAAUUCGAAGCAACGCGAAGAACCUUACCAGGUCUUGACAUCCCGUUGACCACUGUAGAGAUAUAGUUUCCCCUUCGGGGGCAACGGUGACAGGUGGUGCAUGGUUGUCGUCAGCUCGUGUCGUGAGAUGUUGGGUUAAGUCCCGCAACGAGCGCAACCCUUGAUCUUAGUUGCCAUCAUUUAGUUGGGCACUCUAAGGUGACUGCCGGUGACAAACCGGAGGAAGGUGGGGAUGACGUCAAAUCAUCAUGCCCCUUAUGACCUGGGCUACACACGUGCUACAAUGGACGAUACAAACGGUUGCCAACUCGCGAGAGGGAGCUAAUCCGAUAAAGUCGUUCUCAGUUCGGAUUGUAGGCUGCAACUCGCCUACAUGAAGCCGGAAUCGCUAGUAA
Molecule: ribosomal RNA, 520 nt
Filed under: Lysinibacillus sp.
Lineage: Bacteria; Bacillati; Bacillota; Bacilli; Caryophanales; Bacillaceae
Description: bacterial SSU rRNA
Rfam family: Bacterial small subunit ribosomal RNA
Source: RNAcentral